ACGGGGGGGGUAAGCGUUGUUCGGAAUUACUGGGCGUAAAGGGCUCGUAGGCGGCCAACUAAGUCGGACGUGAAAUCCCUCGGCUUAACCGGGGAACUGCCUCUGAUACUGGAUGGCUUGAGAUUGGGAGAGGGAUGCGGAAUUCCAGGUGUAGCGGUGAAAUGCGUAGAUAUCUGGAGGAACACCGGUGGCGAAGGCGGCAUCCUGGACCAACACUGACGCUGAGGAGCGAAAGCUAGGGGAGCGAACGGGA
This 253-nucleotide ribosomal RNA is filed under the name uncultured prokaryote. RNAcentral's name for it is "partial 16S ribosomal RNA". It matches the Rfam family "Bacterial small subunit ribosomal RNA", at positions 525 to 777 of the family's 1533-position model. The record is from RNAcentral.